UUGAACGCUGGCGGCAUGCCUUACACAUGCAAGUCGAACGGUAGAGGGGCAACCCUUGAGAGUGGCGAACGGGUGAGUAAUGCAUCGGAACGUGCCCAGUCGUGGGGGAUAACGCAGCGAAAGCUGUGCUAAUACCGCAUGUGAUCUGUGGAUGAAAGCAGGGGACCGCAAGGCCUUGUGCGAUUGGAGCGGCCGGUGUCAGAUUAGCUAGUUGGUAGGGUAAAAGC
Molecule: ribosomal RNA, 227 nt
Filed under: uncultured bacterium
Lineage: Bacteria
Description: partial 16S ribosomal RNA
Rfam family: Bacterial small subunit ribosomal RNA
Source: RNAcentral